GCAGGGUGCCCUGGGGGCGUGACCGGGGGCUCACAGCGGGACGGGGGCGACCAAGGCUGCACCAGGGACAGGGACAGGGACAGGGCAGGGCGCUGCUCACCUGGGGCUCGUAGCGCAACACGACGUCGUAGUCCAUGGCGGCCGGCACGUCGGCGACGUGGAACUCCGCUGCGCUGCCCUGCUGCAGGCGGGCGAACCCCGUGCCCGUCCACGUGGGCGCGCGGCCGUCGGGGGCCGCGCGCAGCACUAUUGAGCCCUGCGGGGGCCGCAGUCAGUCGAGCAGCCCAGCACACACGUGGCACGGGGCCUGCCCUGGCACAGCCCCCGCACGGGACCUUCUGGCCUCGCGGCCCCUCACCUGUCGCAGCCGGGCAUCUUCGGCCUCGUAGGUGUAGUGGUCCAGGCGGAUGCGGAAGUAGCCGGGCUCCACCUGGUGGCACUGGCGGCCCAGCAUGUGGGCCCGACAGCGGCACUGCCCUGUCUCUGCCGCGCACCUGCCGCACGGGCGCCAUUAGGGCCCUGGGCAGCGCAGGGGACGCCCGAGCUGUUGCCCCAGCCCUGCUCCCCCAGCUCCACUCACUGGUUGUCCCGGGCACCUCCCACGUCGCAGUCACAGGCCCGGCAGCCGGGCAGGUCAUGGUUCAGGGCCCAGUGCUCGGGCUGGGGGGAGACACGCCGUCAGGGCCUCAGCGCCGCAGCUGCGGUGCACGGCCCCCGCGCCCCAGCACUCACCAGGCACUCGCUGCAGCUGCGGCCGGUCACCAGGCGCUUGCAGAAGCAGUCGCCACUGGUGGGGUUGCACGGGGUCCCCUCCGACACAGUCCCGCGGGGGUCACAUUGGCAGCCUGCCCGCGAGAGCAGGGUGGAGGGCACCUGCAUGGCAGCCUGCCCUGGCCCCCCAGCACCCCGUCCCUGCACCUGAACCGGGGGCACAGCUGCAAGGGCAGGGAGCCCCCCAGCACAGUCCUCCCCAGGCCCUGCCAGUGCCCCUGCCUUGUGGCACGGCUGCAGGAGCCAGGCCCCCCAGCACUGCCCCACCCCCCAGUGCCCCGGCUGGGCUGGAGAAGCCCCUGCCCGUGCUCCUGCCCCAGCACCUGCUCAAGGGGCAGGCCCCGGCACCUACGCUGGCAGCCCUGGGGGUUGUCGGCGCGCAGCCCAAAGAAGCCCAUCUUGCAGCGGUCGCAGCGGGGCCCCUGCACGUGCUCCUUGCAGCGGCAUUGCCCAGCCAGCAUCCCCAGCGCCGGGUCAUCGUGA
Molecule: long non-coding RNA, 1254 nt
Filed under: Crocodylus porosus (Australian saltwater crocodile)
Lineage: Eukaryota; Metazoa; Chordata; Crocodylia; Crocodylidae
Description: lncRNA (ENSCPRG00005016916.1)
Source: RNAcentral